GGCAGCGUGGCUCAGUGGAAAGAGCCCGGGCUUGGGAGUCAGAGGUCAUGGGUUCGAAUCCCGGGCUCUGCCA
Molecule: non-coding RNA, 73 nt
Organism: Ornithorhynchus anatinus (platypus)
Lineage: Eukaryota; Metazoa; Chordata; Mammalia; Monotremata; Ornithorhynchidae
Source: Rfam